Long non-coding RNA from Megalops cyprinoides (Indo-Pacific tarpon), 1014 nucleotides. RefSeq lists it as uncharacterized. The transcript is spliced from 4 exons. The record is from RefSeq and is a predicted model, not a curated record. Lineage: Eukaryota; Metazoa; Chordata; Actinopteri; Elopiformes; Megalopidae.
GGGGCAGCGCAGCUUAUUAGCAGCGAGAGGGAGGAAGUUUCUGCGGGCCGGGAUUAUGCGCAGUUUCCUUGUCCAGAAGCUUUGCCGUGUUCCCUCCCACUCUCGGAGCAGCGAUUCCAUGAACUAAGGGAAACAGUGAAAACUUAAACCUGCUUCUCCAGGCUGCAGAGCCCCGGAGCCAUUCUAAUAUACUUUUUUCUUUCUCUCUCUCUCUCUCGCUCUCGUUCGCGCUCUCUCUCUCUCUCUCUCUCUCACUGCGUUCGUAUACUUGUAAGGGGAGAACUUUUUUUGGUUGCCUUUGCACCGUGCUGAAAGGGAUUUUGGGCUCUGAUUGGAGAGAGAGAACACUGGAAGUGCACAGCUGCACAAGGCAGGAGCCGGCACACAGUCUGACAGGCAGUUAAAGCCCCUCUCUUUGAGGAAGGGGGGGGGGGGUCAGGGGCUCAAUUUAGCAGUUCCAAGUUUCAGCUAGGUCUACAGGGGAGCUUUAUGGGAACACAAAAUGGAAUAGAUCAGGGAGAAAAAAGGAGUCCUGUACACUUUUGGAGGUUGCAACUCUUUGUGCAAGAGAGGAUCACACAACGUGUAUGCAACUCAAGACCGUUGAAUUUUGUGCUGCAAGAUGCCUUGCAGUCUGCUGUCUCCAUGCUGUGGCAAGAGAAGUCAGAGAAAUCAUCAAAAAACGUUUGGUUACCAGAUGCUUAUUAAUAAUGCGGGGCGGGGCGCGCGCUCCCUCAGUCAUCACCCUGCCGGCCCGCAGAGGCGGCGGCGGCAGUGGAGCUCCCCGACGUCCGGCUCCGCGUUAGCACUCCGCCGCAGCACAGCAGGUACGUGUCACGGGGCGGAGUCUCGGGGCAGGUACAGUCCGCAAAGCGGGGGAUGGGAGGCAGGCCCGAAAUCCCGCAGGACGGCAGUGAUGAGGGACCCCCGCGACCCCUCAGUUUCUGUCUGCCCCCUCUUUCUCUCUCUCUCUCUCUCUCACACACAUACACACAGCCCUAGUCCAGAAACCCC